RNAcentral lists this ribosomal RNA (253 nucleotides) under uncultured bacterium. RNAcentral describes it as "partial 16S ribosomal RNA". It matches the Rfam family "Bacterial small subunit ribosomal RNA", at positions 524 to 776 of the family's 1533-position model. The record is from RNAcentral.
UACGUAGGGUGCAAGCGUUGUCCGGAAUUAUUGGGCGUAAAGAGCUCGUAGGCGGUUUGUCACGUCGGAUGUGAAAACCCGAGGCUUAACCUCGGGCCUGCAUUCGAUACGGGCUGACUAGAGUUCGGUAGGGGAGACUGGAAUUCCUGGUGUAGCGGUGAAAUGCGCAGAUAUCAGGAGGAACACCGGUGGCGAAGGCGGGUCUCUGGGCCGUAACUGACGCUGAGGAGCGAAAGCAUGGGGAGCGAACAGG